Molecule: ribosomal RNA, 427 nt
Filed under: uncultured bacterium
Lineage: Bacteria
Description: bacterial SSU rRNA
Rfam family: Bacterial small subunit ribosomal RNA
Source: RNAcentral
UGAGGAAUAUUGGUCAAUGGGCGCAAGCCUGAUCCAGCAAUGCCGCGUGCAGGAUGAAGGCCUUCGGGUUGUAAACUGCUUUUGUACGGAACGAAAAGCUUCUGGUUAAUACCUGGGAGUCAUGACGGUACCGUAAGAAUAAGCACCGGCUGACUACGUGCCAGCAGCCGCGGUAAUACGUAGGGUGCAAGCGUUAAUCGGAAUUACUGGGCGUAAAGCGUGCGCAGGCGGUGAUGUAAGACAGGUGUGAAAUCCCCGGGCUUAACCUGGGAAUUGCAUUUGUGACUGCAUCGCUGGAGUGCGGCAGAGGGGGAUGGAAUUCCGCGUGUAGCAGUGAAAUGCGUAGAUAUGCGGAGGAACACCGAUGGCGAAGGCAAUCCCCUGGGCCAGCACUGACGCUCAUGCACGAAAGCGUGGGGAGCAAACA